UUUACCGGAGUACUAUGAAUAUAAAAAAUUUAAAACUCAAAGAACUUGGCGGUGNCNUUAGACCACUCAGGGGAACCUGUCUCGUAAUCGAUAGUCCACGUUGUAUCUGACCUUUUCUUGUUUUUCAGUUUGUAUACCGUUGUCGUCAGGUAACUUUUUAGAAACUAAAAGUUAGCAAUAGAAAUAUAAAUAAUUUAAUACGUCAAAUCAAGGUGCAGCUAAUGGAAGGGGGAGGAUGGGUUACAAUUAUAUGAUUUAUAAUACGGAAGAAUGUAUGGAAUGUGCGUUGACAUAAGGAGGACUUGAAAGUAAAUUAAAUUAUCUGGAUAAUUUGAAUUGGGCUCUGAAACGUGU
RNAcentral lists this ribosomal RNA (354 nucleotides) under Maculauger pseudopertusa. RNAcentral's name for it is "partial 12S ribosomal RNA". Lineage: Eukaryota; Metazoa; Mollusca; Gastropoda; Neogastropoda; Terebridae. The record is from RNAcentral.